This 75-nucleotide transfer RNA is filed under the name Microcaldota archaeon. Its description in RNAcentral is "tRNA-Met". It matches the Rfam family "tRNA". From Rfam's summary of the family: Transfer RNA (tRNA) molecules are approximately 80 nucleotides in length. The record is from RNAcentral. Lineage: Archaea; Nanobdellati; Microcaldota.
AGCGAGGUAGGGUAGUCAGGAGUGCCCGCCGGGCUCAUAACCCGGAGAUCGCUGGUUCAAAUCCAGUCCUCGCUA